ACGGGAGGCAGCAGUGGGGAAUAUUGGGCAAUGGGGGGAACCCUGACCCAGCAACGCCGCGUGGAGGAAGAAGGUUUUCGGAUCGUAAACUCCUGUCCUUGGAGACGAGUAGAAGACGGUAUCCAAGGAGGAAGCCCCGGCUAACUACGUGCCAGCAGCCGCGGUAAUACGUAGGGGGCAAGCGUUGUCCGGAAUAAUUGGGCGUAAAGGGCGCGUAGGCGGCUCGGUAAGUCUGGAGUGAAAGUCCUGCUUUUAAGGUGGGAAUUGCUUUGGAUACUGUCGGGCUUGAGUGCAGGAGAGGUUAGUGGAAUUCCCAGUGUAGCGGUGAAAUGCGGAGAGAUUGGGAGGAACACCAGUGGCGAAGGCGACUAACUGGACUGUAACUGACGCUGAGGCGCGAAAGUGUGGGGAGCAAACAGGAUUAGAUACCCUGGUAGUCCACACUGUAAACGAUGAAUGCUAG
Molecule: ribosomal RNA, 463 nt
Filed under: uncultured bacterium
Lineage: Bacteria
Description: bacterial SSU rRNA
Rfam family: Bacterial small subunit ribosomal RNA
Source: RNAcentral